Molecule: ribosomal RNA, 714 nt
Filed under: uncultured Corynebacterium sp.
Lineage: Bacteria; Bacillati; Actinomycetota; Actinomycetes; Mycobacteriales; Corynebacteriaceae
Description: bacterial SSU rRNA
Rfam family: Bacterial small subunit ribosomal RNA
Source: RNAcentral
AACGGAAAGGCCCUGCUUGCAGGGUACUCGAGUGGCGAACGGGUGAGUAACACGUGGGUGAUCUGCCCUGCACUUCGGGAUAAGCUUGGGAAACUGGGUCUAAUACCGGAUAGGAGCCAUCUUUAGUGUGGUGGUUGGAAAGUUUUUUCGGUGUAGGAUGAGCUCGCGGCCUAUCAGCUUGUUGGUGGGGUAAUGGCCUACCAAGGCGGCGACGGGUAGCCGGCCUGAGAGGGUGUACGGCCACAUUGGGACUGAGAUACGGCCCAGACUCCUACGGGAGGCAGCAGUGGGGAAUAUUGCACAAUGGGCGCAAGCCUGAUGCAGCGACGCCGCGUGGGGGAUGAAGGCCUUCGGGUUGUAAACUCCUUUCGCUAGGGACGAAGCUUUGUUGUGACGGUACCUAGAUAAGAAGCACCGGCUAACUACGUGCCAGCAGCCGCGGUAAUACGUAGGGUGCGAGCGUUGUCCGGAAUUACUGGGCGUAAAGGGCUCGUAGGUGGUUUGUCGCGUCGUCUGUGAAAUUCUGGGGCUUAACUCCGGGCGUGCAGGCGAUACGGGCAUAACUUGAGUGCUGUAGGGGUAACUGGAAUUCCUGGUGUAGCGGUGAAAUGCGCAGAUAUCAGGAGGAACACCGAUGGCGAAGGCAGGUUACUGGGCAGUUACUGACGCUGAGGAGCGAAAGCAUGGGUAGCGAACAGGAUUAGAUACCCUGGU